GUGUCAGCAGCCGCGGUAAGACGUAGGAUGCGAGCGUUGUCCGGAUUUAUUGGGCGUAAAGAGUUCGUAGGUGGUUUGUUAAGUCUGAUGUUAAAGAUCGGGGCCCAACCCCGGGACUGCAUUGGAUACUGGCAGACUGGAGUGUAGUAGAGGCAAGCGGAAUUCCCAGUGUAGCGGUGAAAUGCGUAGAUAUUGGGAAGAACACCAGUGGCGUAAGCGGCUUGCUGGGCUAUAACUGACGCUGAGGAACGAAAGCCAGGGGAGCGAAUGGGAUUAGAUACCCCAGUAGUCC
Molecule: ribosomal RNA, 292 nt
Filed under: uncultured bacterium
Lineage: Bacteria
Description: partial 16S ribosomal RNA
Rfam family: Bacterial small subunit ribosomal RNA
Source: RNAcentral